RNAcentral lists this long non-coding RNA (8862 nucleotides) under Triticum aestivum (bread wheat). RNAcentral's name for it is "long non-coding RNA (TAES_LNC023429)". Lineage: Eukaryota; Viridiplantae; Streptophyta; Magnoliopsida; Poales; Poaceae. The record is from RNAcentral.
AAUUUUGGAGACGCGGUGAUUUUUCUCGUGGUUCCGAUAGGUGGUGCUAUCGUACUUCCACGUUGAUGGAGACUUCAACCCACGGAGGGUAACGGCUGCGAGAGUCCACGGAGGGCUCCACCCAUGAAGGGUCCACGAAGAAGCAACCUUGUCUAUUCCAUCAUGGCCUACGCCCACGGAGGGCUAGCCUUACUCGGGGUAGAUCUUCACGAAGUAGGCGAUCUCCUUGCCCUUACAAACUUCUUGGUUCAACUCCACAUCUCGACGGAGGCUCCCAAGCGACACCUAACCAAUCUAGGAGGCACCACCCUCCAAAAGGUAAUAGAUGUUGUAGAUGAUGAUGAACUCCUUGCUCUUGUGCUUCAAAUGAUAAUCUCCCCAACACUCAACUCUCCUCACUGAUUUGGCUGUGGUGGAAGAAAGGAUUGAGUGGAAAGCAACUUGGGAAGGCUAGAGAUCAAGCUUCAUAUGGUGGGAGUGGAGCAACUUGAUCUCAACACAAGGGUAGGUAGUUCUCUUCUCAGAAAUGUAAGGUAGGAGUGGUAGUUCUUUCUGAUGGCUCUCUCCACGAAUGAAGAGGGGGUGGAGGGGUAUAAAUAGCCUCCACACAAAAUCCAACCAUUACACACAUUUGAGCAAUCUCGGUGGGACCGAAGUUGACAACUCGGUGAGACCGAUAGUUCAAAUAAUGUGAACGUUGGGAUUUUCGGUGGGACCGAAAAUACAAUCUCGGUUAGUCCGAUUCGUGCAAUGACAAGAGCAUGCCAAUUUCGGUGGGACCGACUUCAUCAUCUCGGUGACACCGAUUUGAUGACAGAAGGUUACAGAAGCUUGGCAACUCAUUUUUCGGUGAGACCGAGUUCAGAAUCGGAAAAUCCGAGUUUGCUAGGGUUUGGCUUUAUGGCUGAGGUGGUUCAUCUCGGUGUGACUGAGUUUGGAAUAUCGGUGGGACCGAGACUACUUAUGAGUGUAUAUGGCAGUGAAAGUUGCUGAUAGUUUAGGAGAUGUAUCACUAAGCACUUGAGCAACCAGAUCAUCAUCAUAACCUCAUCCCCUUCUAAUAGUAUUGGCUUUUCCUAUGGACUCAAUGUGAUCUUGGAUCACUAAACCAAAAAUGGAGUCUUGAGCUUUUGCCAAUGCUUGCCUUAGCAUUUUGAGGGGUCCACUUCUUCAGUCCUUGCCAUACCCAUAUCACUGAACUCUCUGAAAUGAUUCUCAAGUAACUAUUAGUUCAAUGAUAUAUAUGUUGUUAUUAAUUACCAAAACCACCCGGGGAUUAGUUGCACUUUCAAUCUCCCCCUUUUUGGUAAUUGAUGACAACAUAUAGAUCAAAGCUUCGACAAAGGAUAUAAUCAAUGAAUAAUAUCGUCGCUUUGAGAAGUAUGUGAUAAGCAAGAGCUCCCCCUAAAUUUGUGCAUUAUUUAAGAUUUGCGUUUGAAUGCAAAUGCACAAUCGAUUAGGAUCAUGGGUCACUCUUCCAUAUCACAUACAUCUUGGUGGAGCGCACAAAAUGAUAAGAAUGAACAGCAUGCACCCAAUCACCAAGACAUGAGUAAAUGGUCAUACGAGAUAGGAAUGGCAUAUGAUAAUCAUUAAGCACACAUUAAAACAUAGUACGACCAAGCACUCAUUAAGGUAGAAUCAAACGUAGUAUCAAACACACUGAAUGUCUCGAAAACCAAAAGUAUCUCAAAGAAACCGCAAAAGAACGAAAGAGCAAAAGCGACAACAGCACUCUCUCUCUCGAAGUCCUAUGAUCUAUACAAUUUCUCACCCUUUGGCAACAAGUUACCAAAAAGUUCGAAAAAGCAUAGAGCUAAGCGUCACUGGGGACUCUGCUGGCGGCUCCCGUCUGGGUUGAUGUUGGAGUGGAUAUGACAGCAUCGGCGAAGACUUCAGCUGAUGUCUGUGCUGGAGGAGUGGUCACUGGAGUUGGAGUUGGAGUAACUGCUGGAACUGUGGGAGGUGCUGAAGCUGUAGUCCUGGUGUCUGUCACUGGAAUAGCAGCUGAUCGGGGUCCUGUGGGAACCGGAGCAGUCUGCUGAUAAGCAUCCUGGACUAAGUCAUCCUGCAUCUCACGCAUGAGCUCUUCCUUCUCCCGCUUUUCUUCCUCAAUGUCUGCCUCGAGCUUGUUGACAGUCACUCGCAUUUCAGUCAGCUUCACGUCCAGAGCGUGGAUCUUGUCCUCAACAAUCCUCUCUAGGCUCUCCUGAGACUGUACAAUGCUGGCCAGGCGUUGUUCAAUCCUUUGGGUAGCUUCAAGAAUCUUCUCUCCGAAACUCUUUGGUUUAGCUGCUGCUGCUGCUGCUUCCUUGUCAGCUUUGGCUUUCUUAGCAGCUUCGAUCUUGGAUUGACCUUCAACAGAUGUUGGAUCCUCCUCAUCCAUCACAACAACAUUGUCUUCAUGCUCUGGCUGCAACGGUAAAUGUUCUCUAUCCAACAAGAAUGUGCCCGUGCCAAACUUGGCAUUGAUAAGCAUCUGAAUCUGCGGGGCAAAUCCACACGACCAUUUCUGGUCAGCUGCAGUCCUCUUAAUGGUCUCUACCAUCAAGUCCAUCACCUUGAAAGGUGCUUUCUCAUCAAGUAGGUGCAGCAUGUUGAUAGAGUAUCCUCUGAUCAUGCGAUGAUCUCCAGACUUGGGCAUCAAGGUAUGCCUCAAAAUGGUAUUAGUGGUAGGUAAGCCUGCCUGGAGAUAGUAGACUGAGCCGAGCUUCCAAAUUCCCAAGUCCUUUGCUGGAACCUCUUUGUACAUGUUCUUCAUGGAUUCAUGAUUCUUCUUUGGAAUCCCAUAUACAUCAAUAUCAUCUUCUCGUUGCAUUGGAGCAUUCAGAAUUUCUGCCCAUUCUUCAACAGUAGAAGAAAAUCUUUGACCUUCAGUCAUCCACGUAAUCUUCCCAUCAGGGUAGAAGUGAGCUGUGGCAUAGAAUUGCAUUAUCAUCUCAUCGUUCCAACUGGUCAAUUUCUGACCAACAAAAUCUGCAACACCACAUGCAGUGAAACUUUCAUGCACAUGUGGAAAGAAAUCUCUGUGCUCUUCGCUUUCAAUGUACUUCCAGUCAACAUAUCUUGUGUCUGCGACUAUGGGCUUCUUGUCCAUCAGCACGGUCUCAUAGAAGUCCUGCUGCUCUCUGUUGUGAAAUCUGGGAUCUACAGCAGUUCUUCUCCUCACGGCAUAUGGGUCAGUUUGUCUCCAUAGCCUGAGACCUCUAUCUUUCAUUGCCUUCAUAUCCUCAGCUUGAGGAUGAGCAUCAUCAUGGACUGGCAGUUUUGGACGAAGUUUCAGCAAAACUGGUCCUUCAUCAUCUGACACAGCUGGUGGCACAUCAUCCUUGUUCUUUUCAGACGCUGGAAUGUUUCUGACGGUCUUCUUGGGCUUGGCAGCAGGCUUUGCUGGAGCUGCCUUAGCUGGAGCAGAUUUCUUGGGCUUUGAUGUGGCUCCAACCUUAAUGGCAUCACCCAUGAACAUAGGCUUCUGAGGAGGAGGCUGGGGUGCUCCCUCAUCCUCAUCUUCUUCUGCUGCAUCAUGCACUAUCCUCUUUCUCUUGGACGUUUUCUUCACUUUGCUUGCAGCUGCCUCUCCCAAAUUCAGCUUCUGAGCAACAGUUGACUGCUUGACUUUGCUGGUGCCCUUCUUAGUUUGUUGACCUUGUUUCUCUUUGGCAACAACCUUCCUUUUGGGCUUUGAGGUCACCUCUUCCUCAACGACAAAAUCUGAAUCUUCAUCAUCUGAAUUCCUCUUCUUUCUAGCUCUGGUGGCUGCAGGAGGCAAGCCACUUGGUGUACUCCUCUCACCAUCAUCAGAUGAGCUGCUAGGAUCAGGACUAGUGCCUGCCUCUGGAAUAUCUGCAAUGGGUGUCUCUGACCUGUUCUGACUGUCACUGGCAUCUGACAUGGCUGACAACCUGUGAAUAGAUAAGGUGUAGGCAGAGAAGAAGAGUCAUCACAAAAUGCAGAAGUUUUUGCAAAAAAUAUGAGUUCAAAUUCUAGUAUUAGGUUUUCACAUAAGACAUUUCGGUCAAACCGAGUUUAAGAUUCGGUGAAUCCGAAGUGUUAAACAGGAGCUGGCACACCACUUUCGGUUUGACCGAAGUGGGUUUCGGUCCUGCCGAAAACACUAGGGUUUCAUAGAAUUUUCAUUUCGGUCACACCGAUUUUGCACAACUCGGUUGGACCGAAAGGUGCAGUGCAAUGGCCAUAGGCCAAAUCGGUCAUACCGAAAUUAUAAAAUCGGUCUCACCGAGAUGUGUUCGGCGGAAACCUAACCCUAAAACUUUUACUCGAAUCUAGUCCAAACGAACUAAUCUGGUGUACAGGAGGAUUUCAAUCGUGGCAAGAUUCUAGGCAAUCCAAACGUGCAUUGAAUCGGAGCUGGGAGCACGAGUGGGAUCAAAACUCACCCUAACUUGGUGGAGUUUUUCUACGGCGGCAACGGCGCGGAGGAGAUGUCCGUUGACGGCGACGGAGACCUGCGGCGAGGGCGCACAGGCGACGAUGGCGAUGAUCCGGAGACCAAGGCGACGGCAGCAAGGGGUGUGGGGGCGAAACGUUUGAACGAGGAAUCAACACGCGUGGCCCUCGGAGUAUAUAUACCCCUUUGCUGUCGGUGGGACCGAGUUGUAAAACUCGGUGGCACCGAGAUGGAUAACUGCUAGGCAGUUAUGCACUUCGGUCAUGCCAAAAAUCACAACUCGGUUUCACCGAGGUGAAAACCUAGAUCAGUCCAAAUGCUUUCGGUUCGACCGAGUUUGAGUGAGUUGGUCUGACCGAAAUCAAUUAGAAGGUUUUGGAAGUUAGCCUUUGACGGAUCGGUGGCUCCGAGUGCUCCUCACCCGGAGGGUCCGAAAAUGACUUGUUCAAAAUUUGUGAUGUAAGCAUGAAUAGAAUUUGAGACAAGAAAGCAUAGAUAGCUAGGGGAGGUACUUAGGAUUCUUGUCCAUCCAUUUGGUCAGAAAAAUCAAAACGACCAAAGCAACAAAUGGAUGUCCUCGAAUGGAUAAAAUCAUGCAUCCAACAUGCUCCCACAAUAAGAUAGCAAAUGAAAUAUGUGUCAAACAUGCACAACCAAAACUCUAGGUACUAUCACACAAUUUGUCGAUGACUAGGUCAUCUUUAUAUGAGUAUAUUGACUUAGGAGCCAAAUGAGAACAUUUGAUCAUAGGUCAUACUCAUCGUUUAAGCACAAGUGGGGUUACCACUUUUACAUAAAGCAUUGAUGUGUUCACAUCAUUUGAAGAUGCCUUAGCUCAAUUUUUAGAGCAAAGCUCCCCCUAGAUGUGAGAACCCCUUUUAAAGGGUCAAACUAACCUUGGCAUGUCUUAGAAGACUUCAUGUAGAUGUUGAAGAUGUGGAUGCUCAAUGUUGAUGUAGAUCAUCAAGAGUUGAGAGCUAUCCCUUGGAUUCGGGCACUUUCAAUACCUACAUGGGUUAGUCCCACAAGGAACAAACAAGGAUAUCCAUGGACAUAGAUUGAAGUUCACAAUAGAUGAUGUCCAUGAAAGCAAUGAUUACCUUGUCCCUUGACUUACCAACAAGAGGGUUUGUGACUCCAUGAACUAGUGCACGAUGUGGAAGUUGAUUGCACAAGUUUUUGCCAAAAUGAAUGUGAGUGAAGUAUGUUGGCGGAGUCACCCUCAAGAACUUUCUAGUUCUUCUUCUUCGGGAUCCACAUCAUCUUGAUGGGAAUCCUUGGGGUUGUAGUUGAGCUUGACGAAGUAGAACUUGACGUUUCCUUGGGAACCCACUUGACCAUGGCUUGAGGUGCUUCAACAAAUGCAUCAAUCUCCUCUUGAAGCUUGUCCUUGCCUUUUAGCUUGUGGUCUUGUGGUGGAAGGUCAUCUUGAGCUUGUUCCACCUUGGAAGAAGUAGGAUCAUACUUCUCCUUUUGAGGAACAAACUGUGGAGUAGGAUAUUGACCUUCUUCCCAUUCAACACCUUCGGCGUUGAACUUUCGCUCAAAACCAAUUCCUUGAUUCUUCCGGUGCCUUCCUUGCUUGCGAACAAUUUCCUCAAAGUUCUUGCUUCCGGCAAGGCUCUUGUAGACACCUUUCUCUAUGAUCCCUUUCAAUAAACUAUUUUCUUGCUCAAGUGUAACUUGGCUUGAAACAUGGUUAGUGGAAUCAAGAGAACUACUAGAAGCAACAACAUUGGAUUUAGCAUGGUUAUUGUUACUACUAGAAAAGGAAUUUUUCUUAUGCUUGUCAUGCUUAGUCUUAAUGGGUGGCAAGAAAUUAGACAAGAGAAGUCAUUUGGCAAGAUAUGAAGAACUAUUCUUUCGAAGAUCGUCAUUGAUUGCUUUUAGAAACUCAUGUUCUUGCUCUAGAGUGAGCUUCUCGAAGCGUAGCUUCUCAUGCGAUCUUAGGAGCUCUCUAUGAUCUUCUUGAGUUGUUUCAUGAGCUAACUUAAGAGUUUUUAGUUCUUUAGUUAGACGCUCAAUCUCCUUCAUAGCAUUGUCAUUCGACUCUUCUCGACUAUAAAGACUACUAGCAUGUUCAUCGUUACUAGGUUCAUUGGAUUUAUCAAGUAAGAGCUCAUCUUCACCAAGCAAGUCAUCCUCAUCACUAUCGAAGUCAAUGAAUUUAGGGUGUGAUACCUUGGGGCCUUUAGCCAUGAAGCAUCUUCCAAUUCCCUCAUUUGGUGAAUCAAAUAAGUCGUAGGAAUUGGAGUUGGAGGAUACGAGAGCAAGACCGGCAACACCUUCAUCUUGACUGUAGUCGGAGUUGGAGUGAUAGCUUCCUUCGGAUUGAUUGUCGGAGUCGGAGCCGGAGACCCAUUCACCUACAUGAGCUUGAUGUUUUCUUCUUGUGUAGCUCCUUGAUGACUUGUCUUUCCUCUCCGAAUCCUUGCUUCUCUGAGAGGGUCUUCGUUCAUAACGAUCAUCUCUGCUCCUUCUCUCUUUCCGAGGUGACUCAUAUCUUGAGCUUCUUCUUCUUGGAGAUUCUUCUCUUCUCUUGUGGGGAGCCGUACACUCAUUUGAGUAGUGUUCGGGUCUUCCACAAUUGUAGCAGUUUCGAUCACGACUAGAAGAUCUCUUUUCAUCAUAUGAUCUAGACUUUGAGCUUCUCUCUUUGCCUCUAUUCUUGUAGAAUUUGUUGAAGUUCUUGACCAUUAGGCUUAUCUCUUCAUUGGAAACUAACUUGUCACUUGAGGUUGUGGGAGCAUCACUUGUAGCUUUGUAAGCACCACUUGACUUGUUGUGAAGCUCUUCCUUAUCCUUAAGUGUCAUCUCAUGAGCAACAAUUCUUCCAAUGACUUCGGUUGGCUUGAGAUUCUUGUAGUUUGGCAUCAUUUGGAUCAAAGUGCACACGGUGUCAUACUUUCCAUCCAAAGCUCUGAGAAUCUUCUUGAUGAUGAAUCGGUCGGUCAUUUCUUCGCUUUCUAAGCCGGCAAUUUCAUUUGUGAUGAGAGCAAGCCUAGAGUACAUUUCAGCGACUCCUUCACCAUCCUUCAUCUUGAACUUGUCAAGUUGACCUUGAAGAAUAUCUAGCUUUGACUCCUUCACGGACUCGGUACCUUCGUGCAUUUCAACCAAAGUAUCCCAAAUCUCUUUUGCAUUCUCAAGACGGCUGAUUUUGUUGAACUCCUCGGGACACAAGGCAUUGAAGAGAAUGUCACAAGCUUGAGCAUUGUUUUGCAACAUCCGCAAUUCUUCCGUUGUAGCUUCGCUAUCCGGAACUUUUCCUUCCUCGAAGAAUUCACCUUGCAUACCAACACAAAUAAUGCCCCAUGCGGCUGGGUUAUGACCAAGAAUAUGCAUUUUCAUUUUAUGCUUCCAACUAGCAAAAUUUGUACCAUCAAAGUAAGGACCUCUACGAAAAUUACCCUCACUAGACGCCAUACUCUCCUAGGUUGUGAAACCAAGCUUAUGGAGUCCAAUGCAAUGGAAACCAAUACAAUGGAGACCAAAGCUCUGAUACCACUUGUAGGAUCGAAAGUAUGUCUAGAGGGGGGGUGAUUAGACUACUUGACAAUAUAAAAAUUCUGCCUUUUGACAAAGAACAGUUUUUGGCAGAUUCACAAUUAUGAGCAAGUCAAGCAUCACCCUACACAUGCAAUUCUAGAGUAUAGGCAGCGGAAAGUAAAUUGCACAUGUAGUAAAGAGAGGUGGAGAAGAGCAAACGCAAUUUUGGAGACGCGGUGAUUUUUCUCGUGGUUCCGAUAGGUGGUGCUAUCGUACUUCCACGUUGAUGGAGACUUCAACCCACGAAAGGUAACGGCUGCGAGAGUCCCAGGAGGGCUCCACCCAUGAAGGGUCCACGAAGAAGCAACCUUGUCUAUUCCAUCAUGGCCUACGCCCACGGAGGGCUAGCCUUACUCGGCGUAGAUCUUCACGAAGUAGGCGAUCUCCUUGCCCUUACAAACUUCUUGGUUCAACUCCACAUCUCGACGGAGGCUCCCAAGCGACACCUAACCAAUCUAGGAGGCACCACCCUCCAAAAGGUAAUAGAUGUUGUAGAUGAUGAUGAACUCCUUGCUCUUGUGCUUCAAAUGAUAAUCUCCCCAACACUCAACUCUCCUCACUGAUUUGGCUGUGGUGGAAGAAAGGAUUGAGUGGAAAGCAACUUGGGAAGGCUAGAGAUCAAGCUUCAUAUGGUGGGAGUGGAGCAACUUGAUCUCAACACAAGGGUAGGUAGUUCUCUUCUCAGAAAUGUAAGGUAGGAGUGGUAGUUCUUUCUGAUGGCUCUCUCCACGAAUGAAGAGGGGGUGGAGGGGUAUAAAUAGCCUCCACACAAAAUCCAACCGUUACACACAUUUGAGCAAUCUCGGUGGGACCGAAGUUGACAACUCGGUGAGACCGAUAGUUCAAAUAAUGUGAACGUUGGGAUUUUCGGUGGGACCGAAAAUACAAUCUCGGUUAGUCCGAUU